Molecule: ribosomal RNA, 492 nt
Filed under: uncultured bacterium
Lineage: Bacteria
Description: partial 16S ribosomal RNA
Rfam family: Bacterial small subunit ribosomal RNA
Source: RNAcentral
AGUGAACGCUGGCGGUAGGCCUAACACAUGCAAGUCGAACGGCAGCACAGUAAGAGCUUGCUCUUACGGGUGGCGAGUGGCGGACGGGUGAGGAAUACAUCGGAAUCUACUUUUUCGUGGGGGAUAACGUAGGGAAACUUACGCUAAUACCGCAUACGACCUACGGGUGAAAGCAGGGGAUCUUCGGACCUUGCGCGAUUGAAUGAGCCGAUGUCGGAUUAGCUAGUUGGCGGGGUAAAGGCCCACCUAGGCGACGAUCCGUAGCUGGUCUGAGAGGAUGAUCAGCCACACUGGAACUGAGACACGGUCCAGACUCCUACGGGAGGCAGCAGUGGGGAAUAUUAGACAAUGGGCGCAAGCCUGAUCCAGCCAUACCGCGUGGGUGAAGAAGGCCUUCGGGUUGUAAAGCCCUUUUGUUGGGAAAGAAAAGCAGCAGGUUAAUACCCCGCUGUUCUGACGGUACCCAAAGAAUAAGCACCGGCUAACUUCGUG